GGUACGUCAGAGAUUGAAAGGAAGAAGAGGAGGUGGAUCAGCGAGCUCUUCCAUGGCAAUACUUCCACCUGAGAGAUCACCAGAUUGAGGAGAUGGGAGGAGUUGACAGCACCGGUGCAUCAUUUUAUCAUGGUAUCUAUUUUCUCAUUCAGGUGGCAAUCAAAUCUGAGCCGGGAUAGUUUGCUGGAUUAGUUAUCUAGGUAUUUUUACUCUGGCUCUUGUUCAGAUACAUGGUUCAUAGAUUCAGUUCUAGUAUUGUCAUUUUGUCAUGAAAACAACUACUUUGUAGAUGUUUGAUGGGGCGGAUGGUCCUGCUAUGUUCGAUAAUUGUCUGCUCCUUAGUUAUAAGUUGUCAUGCGGUCUGAAUUCGAGUAUAUUGCUAUUAACAGCUGCAAUAAGUCGAGUACUCUAGGAGCCAUUUUGUCGUUCAUCUAUUUUCUCAUUCAGUUGGCAAGCAAAAUUCUCAUUUAGUUGGCAAAUCCGAGCGAGGAUAAUUUGAUGGACUAGUUAUCUAGGGUUUUUAGUUUGAUAUAUUUUCAGAUACAUGGUCCAUAGUUUCAAUUUAAUUUCUAGUAGGUUAUUUUGUCAUAAAACACCUAGUCAUAGUUUCAUAAAACCUAUAUUCUUAUCUAUUGGUUACUUUAGCUAAUCUUUUCUAUAUGCUCAUACAAGUUGUGGAUUUUGUGCAGAUCUCGUAGCACUGAAAAGUAUAGUUUGCUUCAUAGCAGGGAGCAUCAUCUUUUCACUCAUUGGUACAAUGUGUCUGACUGUAGGUCGUCAUCACUGCAUGUUGAUAGUUUUGACGAAAGCAACUCAUCUAGUGAUGAUAUAGCAGUUAUUAGCUUGCAAAACUCCACAUCUGAUUUUGUUUCAUAGUUUGUUCUCUUUUGGUGUUCUUAGUUAGUUGAAAUGUUUGCAUUUUAUAGGGCGUUUUCAAUUUAAGUAGGAAGAGACUUUUUAGAUGACGCCUUGUUUGAUUCUUUUAGCAAAGAGGUACUGAUAGUCUGAUACUAUGAUCACAAGCGAGCUAGAUGCAUGUUCUAUUUUUUUAGCAAAGAGGUACUCAUUUUCUUAGUCUUAAUUAUUUUGAUUAUCUUUUUCCCUCAACAUUUCAAUCAUUUUUUCUCAUUCUCUCAGUUUUCCAGUCUUUCAUUCUUAAUAUAUUUUCAUUUUCCCAAUUGAUUUUUUUUUCAUAAUUUAUUCACACAGUCAUCUCAACAUUUCUUCAGUCUUUUUCUCAAUCUUCUUUGUUCAGUAUCUCAGUCGUCCUUUCAUUCACUUAGUUAUUUAGUCUCUCAGUAAAUUUUUCUCAUAUUUGCCCAGUCACAUUUUUUUCUCAGUCCUUAUUUUAUUUUUGUCCUUCUUUCGAUUAUUUCUUCAUUCUGCUCCGUUUCUUCAGUCUCACUGUUUCGUAGCUCUUAUUUGUUCAGUCUUAUCGGUCUCUUUUUCCAGUAGCUCAGUCUGUCAGUUUAUCUAAGUUUCAGUGCUAUCUGCUGAGUAUGUCUUCUCUCAGUAUUAUUAUUCCCGGUUUCUCGGUUUAGAAAAUAUUUGUUCAGUCAUAUUUCUUCAGUUUAUCUCAUAUUUGCAGUCUUAUUUGCUCAGUCGUUCUUCUCUCAGUCUUAUCUUCAGUGUUGAGUAUUCUUCAGUUCUCAGUCUUCCUCUAAGUUCUCAUUUUCUAUAUAAUGACCUUAGUCCUCAUCAUUUCCAGUCCCUAAGUUUCUUAAUGUCUCAACCUGUUAUUUUCAUUUAUCAUUUCUUCUCAAUGCAUUUAUAAGAUCUGGUCACGUUUCGUGCAUUUAAAUUUGACACACUCUAUUUUCUACACCUCCAUUCCAGAAGCUGAUCGCAAGGGACCUGCCUGAUAAUGAAUGGAGAUUUCGCCGCAUAUUCUGUGUUCCCACCUUGCAAAGCUGGUGAAUGGUGAUGCAUUGAAUUCUGUUGUGUGUGAUAUCUUUGAAUCUUAGUUGGCCAAUUCUAUUAGACUUUGGCAUCUCCUGGCUGCAGGUUUGGAGUGUCUUUGUAAGUGUUAUAUUCAUCUAAUUCCGGCUACUUAACCAAUUUUUUUACUUUUAGCCUGGUUGUUGUUUAUAUUACACUAAAUACUUCCCCAUGUUUGCCAGAAAUAAUAAUAACCAACUUCUCUUCGAUUCGUCACUCAAUCGUCCUCAGACAAUUAUGUCGUAUUCUGUGCUAUCAAGCAAUACAUGCCAUAUAGGCCGUCUUGCAGCGGCUGCUCAUGAUGCAGCCAGAAACAGUCAUUUCACUAUUUUCUAUGACACUCGGUACAUUCAUUACAAUCCCGUUUGAACAAAUAUACCACCUUAUUUCUACAUCUAAUUAACAUUGGCAUUGUUUUAUCGGGGCUAGUCCUUCUGAAUUUAUCAUUCCACUGGCCAAAUAUGUAUAUCUGUUUACCAC
This is an RNA transcript of Lolium rigidum, 2418 nucleotides long. It is a transcript of the gene named auxin response factor 8-like, with no coding region annotated. The transcript has 2 exons. The record is from RefSeq and is a predicted model, not a curated record. NCBI's taxonomy places the organism in Eukaryota, Viridiplantae, Streptophyta, Magnoliopsida, Poales, Poaceae.